Molecule: long non-coding RNA, 474 nt
Organism: Zophobas morio
Lineage: Eukaryota; Metazoa; Arthropoda; Insecta; Coleoptera; Tenebrionidae
Exons: 3
Source: RefSeq, a predicted model, not a curated record
GGCAAGUUAUGUUAUGUUUUAAUUAAAGCCUUUUGUUAGUUCGACUUUCGGAUGCAACUAGGGCUAAACCGGAAAACAAAACAAGUGCACCAAACCACCAUAAACAAGGAAGGAGCUCUCCAUAAAAGAGCCAUCCGAAAAGAGACUAAAAUUAACUGUUAUAAGAAAGUUGACCGAGAAGUUUAUAAUAAAGGGUUCUAAAGAAUUAGCACUUUUUGCCAACGAUUUAGAGUAAAGGGACCACAUGAAACCGUUCAACAAAAGUGAGAGGCCAAAAAAAGUAGUGCUUAAACAAUGUGUGAAUUGCUCAGGUUGUUCCCAAAAAGCUUUAGAUUGAUGAGUGGAAAUAAUACUUCUUCAAGAAACUUUAUAAAAAAAUAUAUAAUAAACCUAAACUAAUAGAAAACAAGAAAAUAUAAAGUUAUGUAAUCAUGAUAAUAACCAAACCAGUUUGCUUAAUACACCAGUCAAAGC